GGAGGGUUGCCCGAGCGGCCUAAGGGACCAGUCUUGAAAACUGUCGUGGCCUCGCGCCACCGUGGGUUCAAAUCCCACACCCUCCG
RNAcentral lists this transfer RNA (86 nucleotides) under Kitasatospora cineracea. RNAcentral describes it as "tRNA-Ser". It matches the Rfam family "tRNA". Rfam says of the family: Transfer RNA (tRNA) molecules are approximately 80 nucleotides in length. RNAcentral also lists the same sequence under 6 other names. Lineage: Bacteria; Bacillati; Actinomycetota; Actinomycetes; Kitasatosporales; Streptomycetaceae. The record is from RNAcentral.